AGUGUAAAAGUGAAGGCUAAAUUAUAAUAUAUACAUGAGGAGCUUAAGAGGCUGUGGGACACAUAGUCAAUAAAAGACAGUUAUUUUUAUUAUUGCUAACAUUAUUUCAGCAAACAUUGAUUGAAGACCUACUGUAUACAAGAUGGGAGGUUACUUAGCAUGAGGAAUUCAGCAAGUAUUUAUUGAACAACUACUAUAUGAUGAGAAAAGUGAGUCUCAGAGAGGCUGCCACUUGCCUGAAGUCAUUCAGCCAGGGAGUAACUUGUUUGCCACUGGAAAUAAGUCAUCUGACUCCAGAGCCCUCCUGUAUGACCUUCUGGUAUUUACUUUCUCAUUCUAGUCAGGCAUUCCUGAGAUCCUGAUAAGGAAUACAGAACUAAUAAGCCACCACCAACCGGAAGAGUUCGGGAAAGGUCUAAAGGAGACACCACGUGUCCGUCCACUUCCCAGAAUCCCUCUCGCUGGCAUCCAUCUUGGCUGAGUGAUGCAUGCACCACCAGGAAAGACUCUGAAUUAGAAUGAUUGGUCAAAGACCACCCAGAAACUAAUCCCAUCACCCUAAAACCCGACAUUGUGAGCCACGCGGCAGAGC
Molecule: long non-coding RNA, 592 nt
Organism: Bos taurus (domestic cattle)
Lineage: Eukaryota; Metazoa; Chordata; Mammalia; Artiodactyla; Bovidae
Source: Ensembl